Molecule: RNA transcript, 1189 nt
Organism: Herpailurus yagouaroundi (jaguarundi)
Lineage: Eukaryota; Metazoa; Chordata; Mammalia; Carnivora; Felidae
Gene: HOATZ
Gene name: HOATZ cilia and flagella associated protein
Exons: 8
Source: RefSeq, a predicted model, not a curated record
UUGGCCCGCUACGGCCACGGUCACUCGGCCGUUCGGAGCUGCGGGGCGCACGGGGUUGAGAGAGCCGGCUCUAGGGUUCGGGCUGGGGCCUGAAGAAACGUUUUCUGGGGCGCACCGGACCCGGGAGUGAGGGAGGACAAGAAACGCCCCCAACUUGAUGUUUUGACUCUGCUGUCUGGACUCGCAAGGCUUGGACCGACCCCAAAGCCUGUGGCCCUGAAGACGUGGGCUUUCGGAUAGCCCAUGUGCAGGCGCUGCACCCCCACACCUAUCCAGGAAAAAUAAGGACUUCUGGCGUGGUUGUUGCCAAUCUGACCGUUCUCUACAAGGCGGGGCUGGGAAAGAAGCCGAGGGAGCUUGGAGAAGCGUCCUGAGUUGCCAUGGAAACAAAGCCCGCCGGCAGAGGUCGCCCUGGCCUAAAGGAGUCCGUUGAAAUUUGCCCUCAGGGAUUACUGGUGUUCACGGGAUCUUCAGAACAGGACUCCAACUUGGCCAAGCAGUUCUGGGUGGCCGCGUCGAUGUAUCCCACCAACGAAUCUCAGUUGGUGCUGUCCAGAGGUAGCAGUCAGCGUCUGCCGGUGGCCAGGGCCUCCAGGGGCGGUGCAACCGAGAGUCCAGACAUCACUGCUGAAACCCUAAAGACUCAGCAAUCUGAGGACAAAGAAAAGUAUCUCCAAAAGAAUACAUAUGACAGAACUGAGAAUGGAUUGGAAGUGGCCAGAGCGGAAGUGGGCGAACCAGAGUGGAAGCCAUUGCUAUCAUCCAGCUGGGAGGUGAUGGCUAAAAGGAGAGAUGAGAUUCUCCAACUCUUAAGAAAACAAAGAGAAGAAAGGAUCUCGAAAGAGCUGGUAUCCCUUCCUUACAAGCCAAAGGCCAAAGGACACAAAGCAAAAAAUAUUUGCAUCUCAAAAGAGGUCUGACUAGAAGAAGCAAUGGGUAAUCCAAAGAAAUCAAUAAUCAAUGAUGAAAUCUCAGAAGUGUCACUCUCAGGAAAGUGAUACCAGAGGCAGACAAGGAAGACCAACAGGAGGUCAAAGCCUUGGACUAACUUGAUGGACAAAUGGGAGAGGAUGGCUCACGUAGAUCUUUACAUUUGAAACAACCUUCUCUUAAGUCAGGAUCAUUCGGAUCACCUUGUUAAGAUAGACAAAGAAAUAAAAGUUAAAUGCGCAGGCUUCUAGGGAUGUUA